UACAAAAUAUAAACGUAGGUAUUUGUUAGGCAAUUUGUUUUUUAGUAGUUGAAAAAUUUAAACUAUUUAAUGGAAGACUCAAAAAAAGUUUAUUAGAAAAUCCAAAAAGAAAUGCUUAUCCAACUGUUAAAAAAAGAUACACAAUUAAUUUCUGGGAAGCUUACAAGAUAUUUCAUAUUAAAAAAUACUCGAAAUUGAUGGAUAGUGAUUUUCCGAAACUUUGCAAGCACUUCCUGGCUGUGUGAAGCAUUGGAGUCAAUGGAAAUGAGUAAAAAAUAAAUAUUAAUUACUUCUACACAAAUCUAAUUGUAGGAAAUAAUAUUAUACCUACCUUAUUCUUAUUGUAUUUUAUGUUAAUACUUUGCAAGAUUCCCGUAUUCGAGUUAGGAGUGCAAAAGCCAUGGUAAAUAGAAAUUUAAGUGGUACUGGAGGUGGACCAUACGUUUCGCAAACACUAAACUGUGAUAAACCCUAUCACAAUAAUUGAUGGAUAUGAGAACAUCUUAAUGCCGGUUAAAAAUUGUAUAAAACAGUAAUGAGGUGUAACGCGUAAAAAAUAAGGACAAAAGAACAACAACAGAACAGAUUCAUCAAAAUUAAAUAUUGAGUUUGAACAAGAGAAAUCCAUCAAUUGACGACUAUUGAACCAGAAGUUUAAUGUAAUCAACAAAUGAUGCAAAUUGAAGAAAGUCCAAAUAACAAGGGAAAGAGAAAUUUGCAAAUCAAAAUCAUUAGCAACUACUUUGUGGGAAAUCCAUGAAGCAAAGGAGGAAGCAUAAAACAAGCGAUUGAAGGAAAAACACAAUUUUCUAAAUUGAUUUUCGAUGAACAUAUUACUUCUUAAGUAAAAUAACUUGGUUAAUAUACUUUUAUUAACCAUACAUAUCUCAUUAGUAAUAAGUUAAAGUUUAUAAAAAUAACAUAAGAAAGUUAAAAUGAAUUACCCAAUAUCUCCCAAUAUAUGAUAUUGAAAUCCACAUAAUUAAUUGAGGCAAAUCGUUAGUAACUGACAGAAUGGUUUGAGACAAGGAUAUACAUUUCAUGACUAUUACAAAUCUCUUGUAAUGUUAAAGCCGGUAUGUCAUAACGACUGACAUAAUAUGUUGAUUUAUUUUUAUGUUGUGGAGUUUGAACUGGUAUUGGGGUGCCAUCAAUGCAUUCCAGAAAAUAUUUAAGUAUUAAACAAUA
This is a long non-coding RNA of Acyrthosiphon pisum (pea aphid), 1188 nucleotides long. RefSeq lists it as uncharacterized. The transcript is spliced from 2 exons. The record is from RefSeq and is a predicted model, not a curated record. NCBI's taxonomy places the organism in Eukaryota, Metazoa, Arthropoda, Insecta, Hemiptera, Aphididae.